RNAcentral lists this ribosomal RNA (453 nucleotides) under uncultured bacterium. RNAcentral's name for it is "bacterial SSU rRNA". It matches the Rfam family "Bacterial small subunit ribosomal RNA", at positions 8 to 507 of the family's 1533-position model. The record is from RNAcentral.
AGAGUUUGAUCAUGGCUCAGAAUGAACGCUGGCGGCAGGCCUAACACAUGCAAGUCGAACGGGUCCUUCGGGACUAGUGGCGGACGGGUGAGUAACGCGUGGGAACAUACCCUUUGGUACGGAAUAGCCUCGGGAAACUGGGAGUAAUACCGUAUGUGGUCGAGAGACGAAAGAUUUAUCGCCAAAGGAUUGGCCCGCGUUGGAUUAGGUAGUUGGUGGGGUAAUGGCCUACCAAGCCGACGAUCCAUAGCUGGUUUGAGAGGAUGAUCAGCCACACUGGGACUGAGACACGGCCCAGACUCCUACGGGAGGCAGCAGUGGGGAAUCUUAGACAAUGGGGGAAACCCUGAUCUAGCCAUGCCGCGUGAUCGAUGAAGGCCUUAGGGUUGUAAAGAUCUUUCAGGUGGGAAGAUAAUGACUGUACCACCAGAAGAAGUCCCGGCUAACUCCGUG